RNAcentral lists this unclassified non-coding RNA (395 nucleotides) under soil metagenome. RNAcentral describes it as "partial contains 5.8S ribosomal RNA, internal transcribed spacer 2, and large subunit ribosomal RNA". The stretch from base 1 to 122 matches the Rfam family "5.8S ribosomal RNA", at positions 35 to 154 of the family's 154-position model. The record is from RNAcentral.
GAUGAAGAACGUAGCGAAAUGCGAUACUUGGUGUGAAUUGCAGAAUCCCGUGAACCAUCGAGUCUUUGAACGCAAGUUGCGCCCGAAGCCAUCAGGUUGAGGGCACGUCUGCCUGGGCGUCACAUAUCGUUGCCCAAUGCCUAUUGCAGUGCAGUAGGAAUUUCUAGGGCGAAUGAUGGCUUCCCGUGAGCGUUGUUGCCUCGCGGUUGGUUGAAAAUCGAGUCCUUGGUAGGGUGUGCCAUGGUAGAUGGUGGUCGAGUUAGAACGAUACCGAUCAUGUGCAUGCUCCCCAAAAUAUGGCCUCUAUGACCCACACGCGUCUUUUGACGCUCAUGACGAGACCUCAGGUCAGGCGGGGCUACCCGCUGAAUUUAAGCAUAUCAAUAAGCGGAGGA